Long non-coding RNA from Hipposideros armiger (great roundleaf bat), 746 nucleotides. RefSeq lists it as uncharacterized. The transcript has 4 exons. The record is from RefSeq and is a predicted model, not a curated record. NCBI's taxonomy places the organism in Eukaryota, Metazoa, Chordata, Mammalia, Chiroptera, Hipposideridae.
UCAAAUAUAAAUUUAUUUCAUUGAAGAACAUUACCUAAUCAUACGUAUGAAAAUCCAGCCGUUAUUCAGGGAGAUCUGACAAGCUUUCUGCCUGUUCACAGCCCUGGUUGUGAGUGGCUGCUGAACACCAUCAUCUUCAAUUUGACUGUGAUCGUUCUGAAACUCUGCCAUUCUAUAGCAUUUUAGAGUACAAGGUGAUGACACAUCCUUCUGUGAGGUCAGUGGAGAAAUGAUUGAACACCCCUGAUGUAGAUCGAUGCAAGAUGAAAUCUGAUUUGGAGCUCAAGCUGUGAGGGUGGACCACCUGGGUCCAAAUUUUGCCUCAUCCUAGCUGUGUGACCGUGGGCUGUAUAUUGCCUGAGGAAGACACUGCAGUUUUGGGCCUCCUCACAGCCUGAGCAUGUAGAAGAGAUUCAAUAUAGAUAUCACCUGAUUAACUCUUUGAAGAAUACCUUCAAUUCAGUAAAAGUAUCCACUGCAGUAUCAAAAACAGGUUGGGUGAGAAAGAACUCUGACCGUCUUACUGGGAAUCUCCAGUGGAAUUUCUGGCCCCAUCUAGCUCUUUCUGCCCAGCUGUUUUCCUAUUGCAAACUCACCAUAUAUAUUUUCCGCUAAGGAACAAGAUCUUGGAGGUAGCACCACAGUAAACACCCAUGCAGUCACAACAUAAAACAAAAUCUCUUAGCUUUGUCUCAUUUGACAAAGGUUCUAUUUCCUUUUAAUAACAAAAAUAACAAGUUAUAUAU